This 439-nucleotide ribosomal RNA is filed under the name uncultured bacterium. RNAcentral's name for it is "partial 16S ribosomal RNA". It matches the Rfam family "Bacterial small subunit ribosomal RNA", at positions 339 to 795 of the family's 1533-position model. The record is from RNAcentral.
CUACGGGAGGCACCAGUGAGGAAUAUUGCACAAUGGGGGGAACCCUGACGCAGCAACGCCGCGUGGAGGAUGACGCAUUUCGGUGUGUAAACUCCUUUUAUAUGUCAAGAAAAUGACGGUAGCAUAUGAAUAAGCACCGGCUAACUCCGUGCCAGCAGCCGCGGUAAUACGGAGGGUGCAAGCGUUACUCGGAAUCACUGGGCGUAAAGGACGCGUAGGCGGGUUGGAAAGUCAGGUGUGAAAUCCUACAGCUUAACUGUAGAACUGCACUUGAAACUUCUAAUCUAGAGUAUGGGAGGGGGAGAUGGAAUUAGUGGUGUAGGGGUAAAAUCCGUAGAUAUCACUAGGAAUACCUAAAGCGAAGGCGAUCUCCUGGAACAUUACUGACGCUAAGGCGUGAAAGCGUGGGGAGCAAACAGGAUUAGAUACCCGGGUAGUC